RNAcentral lists this long non-coding RNA (448 nucleotides) under Elaeis guineensis (African oil palm). RNAcentral describes it as "long non-coding RNA (EGUI_LNC009222)". The record is from RNAcentral. Lineage: Eukaryota; Viridiplantae; Streptophyta; Magnoliopsida; Arecales; Arecaceae.
GAGGUACGUUUACUUCUGCAUUCAAAUUAAAAUUUCCUACAUUCAAUGAUAUCAGAACCACUUUCUAUAUUAUUUUGUUCACUCUAUAUAGAUUUAUAAUCUUGAGAAAAAUUUGUAUAUGCCAUAUUUUAUUUUUAUUUUUGACAUGAUGUAUAAAAUGAAGAAAAAAACCUCCAUUUCUUCCUCCACGACCGUCAGGAUGAGCUAAUAGCAAGUCCUAAAGCCACAUCGUUGGAUGUAGAUUUGAUUGGCCACUAUUGUGAUCAGAAUCAUCACAAUCAGGAUUUGCUCUCAAAUACUGUAAAUGAUUUAUGAUUAUUUAUUUAUUUAUCUUAAAAGACAUAAUUUAUUUUUAAAAGAUUGAAAUUUUUUUUAAAUAAAUAAAUAAGUAUAAAAAGAAACAGGAGAGAGGAAGAAUAGAAAUUUUUCCAUAGUCAUCCUCUCUCCC